UGUUCAGUAUUUGAUACAUCCCUCGAUGCACCAUCGGUCGCGCAUGCGGCACGUCGAUCGUCGUGGUGUCAUCAGAUAACAAUUGUUUUGACCAUGGAGCUAUUGUUGGCAGUGGUUUUACACACAGACUCAUAAAAUUGUGAUUUGCAUUUACAGGAUAACUAGUUUAGUACUAGAAACCUUCGAAAGAAUGUCAAUUGCGUCCUGAAUUCAUGACGUGUAUCCUCGAGAUCGACGCAGCUAAUAACGAGGCCACAUGGCAUGGCGAACCCAAAUCAAAUGCGGAUGCGUAUAAUUUGAUCGCGUCGUUUUAGGGGGUCUGACGAUGUCAUCAGAUAAGACUUUGAAUGAUGUUAUUUGACCCCUGAAAAUUGGGAAUCAGCCAAAGCAGUCCUGUAUGGCGGUCGUGUGGAAAGGAUGCAACCGUGUGGGAUGGCCGUCACUACAAGCAGUCACUUCUUGAGACACCAAAUCCUGUCACACAAGGCCAAUGGAUGGUUGGUGCAUUUUCACUGAGUUUGAAUGUGGUAGGAUUCUUAGGAAUCUAGUGCCAGAGAUGAAGCGGAAGCCACAACGAAGCCGGGGUUUCAUAAACAUCACAAAGAGUUGGGUGUGAAGGGCAUCACCUCAAACUCCCUUGACAACAAGAUGAGACAACUCAAGGAACAUGGCCUGGUUCUUGGCAGGAUUCAUCCUGGGUUCUAUGACAUCAGGAAGAGAUUGAAGGAAGAUCUUGAGAGAAUGUUGGCUGAGAGACGAUGAGGAGUCAAGAAGAUGACGGCCGGUAAACGUCUCAAGUCAAACACCUGUCAGCCGGUUUGGUGAGCAACAUGAGCCAAUGUCUGGCAUGCAUCAUAACAUGGCCAUGGGAGAUGGGGGAGGGGUGACAGCUCAUGGAAUGGCAGGAGCGGUCUGGAACCCUGUAGCCACCAUGCAGCUUCAUGGCACCAAUCCAAAGGUGUGGGGAGCAUCACAGAGCCAGUCAGUCAUGUGACAUGACACCUCUCCGUCCAUUCCUAUAGAGGGCGCUGUUCGUCACAGCCCCAGCAUCCACAAGAGAUAGUUAAGUUAAUUAAUUUUUCUUCAAUGGCCAGUAGCCAUAGAGGGCGCCAUAAUGCUAUCUGGUUUGUUCACAGACAUAUAAACACAUAGACCGCCAGUCGUGCGUGUGAAACCGUGAUUUAAUAAUUGGGCAAAAUGUUUGUUGACAGCGCGCAUAACUGCCACUCAAUGCGCCAAC
Molecule: RNA transcript, 1240 nt
Organism: Patiria miniata (bat star)
Lineage: Eukaryota; Metazoa; Echinodermata; Asteroidea; Valvatida; Asterinidae
Exons: 6
Source: RefSeq, a predicted model, not a curated record